CUGUCUAAUGUGCAACUGCUCCAUGGCGCCACUGUUUACAUUACUGUCAUAGCGACGAAUGCUGCUGGGCUCUCUACUGUUACAUACUCUAACGCCAUCACAGUAGACAUGACUGCACCACAGUUCGACCUCAUCAGUGAUGGUCUGGAUGGACGAGAUGAAGACUAUCAGACAUCAGGCGUGGUGAGUGUCUACUGGCAAGUCAGAGAUGAAGAAUCAGGUGUAGAACACUGCGACUGGGCUAUUGGGAGGACACGAGGGAGCAGUGACAUGAAACAGUUUGAGAGGGUCCCCCAGGUCAGUCCA
This is a long non-coding RNA of Haliotis rubra (blacklip abalone), 306 nucleotides long. RefSeq lists it as uncharacterized. The record is from RefSeq and is a predicted model, not a curated record. NCBI's taxonomy places the organism in Eukaryota, Metazoa, Mollusca, Gastropoda, Lepetellida, Haliotidae. The transcript has 3 exons.